RNAcentral lists this ribosomal RNA (433 nucleotides) under uncultured bacterium. RNAcentral's name for it is "partial 16S ribosomal RNA". It matches the Rfam family "Bacterial small subunit ribosomal RNA", at positions 29 to 507 of the family's 1533-position model. The record is from RNAcentral.
AACGAACGCUGGCGGCAUGCCUAACACAUGCAAGUCGAACGAGACCUUCGGGUCUAGGGGCGCACGGGUGCGUAACGCGUGGGAACCUGCCCUUAGGUUCGGAAUAACUCCCCGAAAGGGGUGCUAAUACCGGAUAAUGUCUUCGGACCAAAGAUUUAUCGCCUUUGGAUGGGCCCGCGUUGGCUUAGCUAGUUGGUAGGGUAAAAGCCUACCAAGGCGACGAUCCAUAGCUGGUCUGAGAGGAUGAUCAGCCACACUGGGACUGAGACACGGCCCAGACUCCUACGGGAGGCAGCAGUGGGGAAUAUUGGACAAUGGGCGAAAGCCUGAUCCAGCAAUGCCGCGUGAGUGAUGAAGGCCUUAGGGUUGUAAAGCUCUUUUACCCGGGAUGAUAAUGACAGUACCGGGAGAAUAAGCGCCGGCUAACUCCGUG